AAAAAAAAUUUAAAUCAUAUUUUCAUGUUUUAGUCAUAUGUUUUGACUUUUUAUUAAAAUUAAAUUAUUUUUCAGGCUCGGCUCAUUCAGUGCUUGCACCAUAUUGGUCUAAAACUCUUCAACAGAAUUCUUUUUAUGCUCGACAGUGUUCUGCUCGGGGUGGUGACCUAAAUAUGAAGCUUGUUGAUGACAGAGUCCUUAUCAGUGGCAAUGCUGUAGUUGUGAUUCAAGGACAAAUCAACUUUUAACUACACUUGUUAAAUUUUAUAAUAACUUCGUACGAGUUGAAGAACUUAGUUAAAGAAGGGUGAAUUUGAAAAUAAGGUUAUUGGUUUUAAUAAUAUGCUGUGCUGCUAAAACAUUAAAAAAAUAGUUUUUGCUCUAUUUUCCAAAGUUGAUGUUCACACAAAGGACGCAUAGCGUUUUUAAAAAGUGCCUAAAGAUACUUAAUUUUGAUAUACGUUUUUUUAAUAGUCCUUAAAGGUGCUUAUUUAAUUCGGGGUUUGUAAAAAGUGCUUAAUUUUCUAUCUUUUAAAUAGAAAUUUGUUCCUUUGCUAUGUCGAUUGUCA
Molecule: non-coding RNA, 569 nt
Organism: Parasteatoda tepidariorum (common house spider)
Lineage: Eukaryota; Metazoa; Arthropoda; Arachnida; Araneae; Theridiidae
Source: RefSeq, a predicted model, not a curated record